CAGUCGCCACGGGAAUACGAAGGGUGCAAGCGUUACUCGGAAUUACUGGGCGUAAAGCGUGUGUAGGUGGUUGUUUAAGUCUGUCGUGAAAGCCCUGGGCUCAACCUGGGAAUUGCGAUGGAUACUGGGCGACUAGAGUGCGGUAGAGGAUAGUGGAAUUUCCGGUGUAGCAGCGAAAUGCGUAGAGAUCGGAAGGAACAUCUGUGGCGAAGGCGACUAUCUGGGCCAACACUGACACUGAGACACGAAAGCGUGGGAGCAAACAGGAUUAGAUACCCCGGUAGUCCCUGUCUCUUAUACA
Molecule: ribosomal RNA, 301 nt
Filed under: uncultured bacterium
Lineage: Bacteria
Description: partial 16S ribosomal RNA
Rfam family: Bacterial small subunit ribosomal RNA
Source: RNAcentral